GCGGCGUGGAUUCGCACGGCGUGUUGCGGAUACCGAGCUACAUCGAUCGGCUGAAGAAGAAGCUCAUCAACCCUGCCCCGAACAUGCGUGUGGAGACGCGUGCCGGCGCCAUCGCGGUCUUGGACGCGGAUCGCGCACCGGGAGCGGUCGCGAUGUCGCGGGCGAUGGACGAGGCCCUCGCCCGUGCCCGUGAGGUUCACUUCGGCUGGUGCGCCGCGCGCAACAUCACCCAUGCCGGGGCCAUCGGCUACUUCGCCCUGCAGGCCGCGAACGCUGGAAUGGCGGGCAUCGUCAUGUCGGCUUCCGGUCCGAUGAUGGCGUACCACGGCGCCAAGGUAUCGGGCGUGUCGAGCAAUCCACUCGCGAUCGCCUUUCCGGCCAAGCGCAGGCCGCCCCUCCUGCUCGACAUGUCGACCUCGAAUGUCGCAAUGGGGAAAAUAAUGAGUGCCCGCGACGCCGGCCGCGACAUCCCGCUGGGCUGGGGAAUGGACGCCCAGGGACGCGACACCCCCGACCCCAGGAAGGUAACGACCCUCCUGCCUUUGGGUGGGCCGAAGGGCUCGGGUCUCUCCUUCAUGAUCGAGUGUCUUUGCAGUCUCACCGUGGGUAACCCGAUCAUCGCGCCUGCCCUUGCGGCGGGCGGUGCGUUGGAUGCGCCUUUUCUCAAUGGCGUCGCAAUGGCGGUCGACCUCGCCGCAUUCGGCGACGUCGAGCGCAUUCUGGCCGAAGCGGAUCGGCUUGGUGAUCAGAUACGGGCGCUGCCGCCCGAUGACAGCGUCGAGCGCAUCUAUCUUCCCGGCGAACGCGGCGACAGCAUCCUGAAGGAACGCAUGCGAGACGGCAUUCCCCUGCCGCAAGGCACGUGGUCGCGGCUGCUCGCCGCUGCCGACGCGCUCGGCGUGCGACCGCCUUCCAAGGCCGGUGGGAGCGGGUAGCGGGCGCGGCGCUCGACACGUCGCGUUGAUUUUCGCGCUGCGAAAGCGCGGCAAAGCUUGGAGCGGAUAUCGACCUCAAUACUCGUCGAACAUCUGCUGGAUCUCGUCGGGCUUGGUCGUCCUGGUCAAUGCCAAUUGCAGAAGGAUGCGCGCUUUCUGCGGGCUCAGAUUGUCGGCGGCGACAAAGCCCGGCUCCUGCCAGUUGUCGUCGCGGAUCCGAACCAUUGCGGGCAAAAUUGUCUCCGGCGCCUCAGAGCGACGCCAGCAAUUUGCCGAAACCGUGUAUUGCGCCGGCGACCUUGCCGCGUCGCAUGGAGCUCCAGAUCAUGGCGUUCAUCCAGGUGACCACGGUCGUGUCGAGAUCCGUUUCGAGCAGCUCGAUAUUGCGGAUGCUGCCCCAGCCACCGCAGGGAAUGUAGAUGCCAUCGGGCUUCUUGGCGGAUUCGAGAUAAGUCCUGCGCGCCACCGUGUACUCGACGGGGAUCGGCAGCCGGCGUAUUUCCACGUUCCGCUUGAUGCCGAGCGCAGUGUUGUUGGUGAUCUCGAUCUUCUCCGCCGCGAGAUACUGGACCAGCCGGUCAUUGAUGAAUUGCUCGAACGGCGUCGCCAUGGCGAGCGUCUUGAGGUUCGCCGUGCGCAUGGCGUCGAUCACGCUCGACAUGUCGGUGAUCGCCGGCAGGCCGGACGCCUGCGACAAACGAUCGGCGAGUUCGUCGCCGAAUCCCAACCCGCGGCGCACGACCGGGGGGACACCGGAUUGAUAGAUCACGUCGACGU
This 1712-nucleotide unclassified non-coding RNA is filed under the name uncultured fungus. Its description in RNAcentral is "sequence contains 18S rRNA gene, ITS1, 5.8S rRNA gene, ITS2, 28S rRNA gene". The record is from RNAcentral. Lineage: Eukaryota; Fungi.